AGAGUUUGAUCCUGGCUCAGAUUGAACGCUGGCGGUAUGCUUAACACAUGCAAGUCGGACGGCAGCAGGCCUUCGGGCGCUGGCGAGUGGCGGACGGGUGAGUAACGCGUAGGAAUCUGCCUGUUAGUGGGGGACAACUUAGGGAAACUUAAGCUAAUACCGCAUACGCCCUACGGGGGAAAGGAGGGGACCUUCGGGCCUUCCGCUAACAGAUGAGCCUGCGUUGGAUUAGCUGGUUGGUAGGGUAAAGGCCUACCAAGGCGACGAUCCAUAGCUGGUCUGAGAGGACGAUCAGCCACACUGGGACUGAGGCACGGCCCAGACUCCUACGGGAGGCAGCAGUGGGGAAUAUUGGACAAUGGGCGCAAGCCUGAUCCAGCAAUACCGCGUGUGUGAAGAAGGCCUGAGGGUUGUAAAGCACUUUCAAUGGGGAGGAACACCUUAAGGCGAAUACCCUUAAGACUGACAUUACCCAUACAAGAAGCACCGGCUAACUCCGUGCCAGCAGCCGCGGUAAUACGGAGGGUGCGAGCGUUAAUCGGAAUUACUGGGCGUAAAGCGUGCGUAGGCGGCUUGUUAAGUCAGAUGUGAAAGCCCUGGGCUCAACCUGGGAACGGCAUUUGAAACUGGCGGGCUAGAGUUGGGUAGAGGGGAGCGGAAUUCCGGGUGUAGCGGUGAAAUGCGUAGAUAUCCGGAGGAACACCAGUGGCGAAGGCGGCUCCCUGGACCCAAACUGACGCUGAGGUACGAAAGCGUGGGUAGCAAACAGGAUUAGAUACCCUGGUAGUCCACGCCGUAAACGAUGUCGACUAGCCGUUGGGCCCUUCUAGGGUUUAGUGGCGCAGCUAACGCAUUAAGUCGACCGCCUGGGGAGUACGGCCGCAAGGUUAAAACUCAAAUGAAUUGAGGG
This 910-nucleotide ribosomal RNA is filed under the name uncultured bacterium. RNAcentral's name for it is "bacterial SSU rRNA". It matches the Rfam family "Bacterial small subunit ribosomal RNA", at positions 8 to 916 of the family's 1533-position model. The record is from RNAcentral.